RNAcentral lists this long non-coding RNA (1946 nucleotides) under Hordeum vulgare. RNAcentral's name for it is "long non-coding RNA (HVUL_LNC012646)". The record is from RNAcentral. Lineage: Eukaryota; Viridiplantae; Streptophyta; Magnoliopsida; Poales; Poaceae.
UCCCUUUUCGCUAUUCUUCGUCUGAUUGUAUUCCAGGCUAGGGUUCUGUCUUGGUCGAGGUGCUCCUCCCGUCGAUGUCGAGGUCUAGCUAGUCCCGGUGUUUUCUCCUCGUCUGUUCCGUUGAUAUUGGUAUCGUGUUCUGAACCUUGCUGCUUUGGUUUAGGGUCGAGGCUAAUCUACUUUGAUUUGACUUCUGAUCUGAUUUAGGGAUCUAUCAUGCUCUGGUUGCGAUGUGAUUUAGGGUCGCGUCUUAUCCUUUAUAUUAUUAUCAUGGUCAUGAUUGCUUAUUGGAUUUAAGGUUGUGAUGAGAAAUGGAGAUUAUAUUUGGCGUGAAUAACGAGGUCUGUCGGUAUAGAUACGUGGAGGUGGAGCAGUUUGUUUUGUUUCAUUUCUGUUUGUUCUGGAAUCUGGAGGAUUGGUCUGGUCGGUUUAGUUGGUUCCGUGGAGAUGUUUGACAUGAUCCGAAUGAGAGAUUGAAGGUUGUGGUUUCAUUUUGGCUUGGUCAGUUCAAGGUGUUUAUAUUUUUGUGGCGAAAAACAACGGGUUGGAGACAGUUCACAGUCAAAAUUCUGCUGUUAUUUUUGCUUUUGAUCCCGUUCCUUCAUACUUGGUCAGACUCAAUAAAAAUUGGAGGAAGUUGGAAAAAGGUUUGCUAGGUCUAUUUGGAUAUAUUUGCUUUCGCCUAUCAGCCUAUACACGUCAGAUUAUAUGGAAAGGAUUGUGCUAUAUUACCAUGUUAUAAACUGUGUUGACAUGUUCAUGGCGGAGGUGAUUCUUCAGUGGCUAUGUUUUGGUGUCAACUUUGGUUUGUUUCAUUUCAAGAUUCAUAGGAAAAUCGGAGGUGCUUGUUUUGUUUGCGUUCUAGAUUUAAUUUCUCAGGAAGCACCUUAAAUGAACAUGGAAGUUUGCUUUUGAAGUGAUCUGUUUGAAGGUUGUUUCAACUACAGUGAAGAUGCUCUUGGUUUGUCUCUGCAGAAUUACUUCACUGUUGCUGUGUUUUUCUUUGGUGGUAUGUCAAGGUGUAUUCAGAUGCUGGUUACUGUGUUGGAAUCUACCAAUCCUUCUGAUCACUAGUUUGUGUGUAUGAUUUUCUAAACGGAUAUUUGGUUGGGCUUCAGCUGGUUUCAUGUUCUGUCCGGUGUUGGAUUAGUCUUAGGUUGGUAAUUCGUAUUCUUAUUGUAAUCUGCAGCCAUGUUUUGUUAAUUAGUAUGUUCUAAUGCAAUUUAUGCUGUACACAAUUGUCAAUUAUGCAUCUGGUCUGAUGUUGCGAACUGUAACUGAUGUAAUUGUUGAAUGAUAUGUAUGGAUGCCUUAAUUUAGCCUUUCGUCGUCUGUCCAGUGUUGGAUUAGUCUUAGGUUGGUAAUUAGUAUUCUUAUUGUAAUCUGCAGCCAUGUUUUGUUAAUUAGUAUGUUCUAAUGCAAUUUAUGCUGUACACCAUUGUCAAUUAUGCAUCUGGUCUGAUGUUGCGAACUGUAACUGAUGUAAUUGUUGAAUGAUAUAUAUGGAUGCCUUAAUUUAGCCCUUCGUCGUCGCUUGGUUGGGUGUAUAAAAGCUAUAACCAAAUAGCAACUGAAUUUCAUAGCUUGAUGUUCUUACUCCCUGCAUAAGUUACAUUUUUAUUCAUUUUGCUUGGUUGGGGUGUAUAAUAGUUGUAACCAAAUAGCAACUGAAUUUCAUAGCUUGAUGUUCUUCCUCCCUGCAUAAGUUACAUUUUUAUUCAUUGUUAUCUGUUAAAAUUGAAUGGAGAUUGUUGUGAGCAUCCUGUUUUUCUAGUUGCCAUGAUCUCAAUUUAGUAAUGUUGACUAUUGACCUAACAUUCUGAACUUUGCUCCGUUAUCCUUUGUUAUGUUGUCCGUUCAUCCGUUUGGUCAGUUUAACUGUGAAAUAUGAUGGUUGUAUUUUCUUAUUCUGUCCUAUAAGUAUGCCCAAGAUUCAUUAUUAUCAC